This 451-nucleotide ribosomal RNA is filed under the name uncultured bacterium. Its description in RNAcentral is "partial 16S ribosomal RNA". It matches the Rfam family "Bacterial small subunit ribosomal RNA", at positions 29 to 523 of the family's 1533-position model. The record is from RNAcentral.
AACGAACGCUGGCGGCAGGCUUAACACAUGCAAGUCGAACGGUUGCAGCAAUGCAGCAGUGGCAGACGGGUGAGUAACACGUGGGAACCUUCCUAGGAGUACGGAACAACUCCGGGAAACUUUAGCUAAUACCGUAUACGUCCGUGAGGAGAAAGAUUUAUCGCCCUUAGACGGGCCCGCGUCGGAUUAGCUAGUUGGUGGGGUAACGGCCUACCAAGGCGACGAUCCGUAGCUGAUCUUAGAGGAUGAUCAGCCACACUGGGACUGAGACACGGCCCAGACUCCUACGGGAGGCAGCAGUGGGGAAUCUUGGACAAUGGGCGCAAGCCUGAUCCAGCCAUGCCGCGUGAGUGAAGAAGGUCUUCGGAUUGUAAAGCUCUUUUACCAGGGACGAUAAUGACGGUACCUGGAGAAUAAGCCCCGGCAAACUUCGUGCCAGCCGCCGCGGUAA